GCGGUGUUGGCGUUCCGCGGCCGCGGGGAGGUGCGUCGGAGGACCGUUGCGCCGGGGAGGGGCUGCCGGCUGGGUGCCAGCUUUGGGCUGUGAACUCGGUGUGCGCGACUUCUCCCGAAAUUUUCCUGGCCCCGUGUCUUGCCCAACAACAAUAGCUCGUGGCUCAGUCCUUAAACCAAACCUCCGCGGAAGUUCGCACACCUCACCAAGGGGUCAGAAGCCAGUGAACGUGUGCAACUUUUGCUAGCUCUUAAUUAGAGCUCAGCUUUAUCACCCCUUCAUCCUUACUGGGGAGAGCACGCCAGGCUGACGGCUCACAGUGGUCCAUUAAACCCUCUGUAGACCUUGGGAGUUUGUGUAAGAAUCAAUCCCUCACAGUGGAGGAUGACUGUCUUCCAUGAUUGUCUAUCUUAUCUGUGGGUGUGAAGAUGGCUGAUAAGGCCAAUCCAGGAUCAACAGACUCUGUUGCAACAUGGACACAUGUUUCAGUGCAGGGUAGGUGGCUCCAGAUUCUCGAUUCAGUCCAUGACAAGCGACCAGACACAGCAAGACCAUAUAGCAAGACUUUGCAGAGAUCUGUUAUCUCAUCAAUUGCCAUAGCUACAGAAUUCAGCACAGGCAAUGACUUGGAAAUGAAAAUAAGGGAUGACUAAAGGCAUAGCCCUACAGGAAUACACGCCCAGAAGGAUGCCUCAUCAUAUUGGUCUUGACACAUGGAUAGCAGGUGAAAACAAAGGUCCAGAGAGUUUGGAGCCCUCAGCAUCCUGGGAAGCCCCUGCCAGCCAUACUUGUCCAGCAGUGCCUGCCGCGGCUACUGCUCUGGCAUUCCUUGACCAGUGUCUCCUCACCAGCACUGGUAAGUAUACUAUUCCUCCUCUUGACCCCUCUUCUGGGAUCUGUACUCCAGUCCCGUGGCUGGACUCCUCCCCUCCCAGAGUCUCAGCAUCCCUCUUUUAAAUUUCACAUGCCCAAAUUUCACAAUACCAUUUAAAAGAAAAAUUAAAAAAAUACACUGUCCCUAAUUCCCACUAAUCCAUGUUUUCAAAGCUACUUUUCUUUGUAAUGCUAAUAGUUCAGGGUCUUCCAGCAUAUAAGAGAGUGACCAAAGCAGACCUUUAACAAUAACAUUUACUUUAAAAUGUAUUAGCAACCAUGGGACUCUUAGAGAGGUUGGCUACCUAAUGUUGAU
Molecule: long non-coding RNA, 1189 nt
Filed under: Crocodylus porosus (Australian saltwater crocodile)
Lineage: Eukaryota; Metazoa; Chordata; Crocodylia; Crocodylidae
Description: lncRNA (ENSCPRG00005000772.1)
Source: RNAcentral